UAACGGCGAGUGAAGCGGCAAUAGCUCAAAUUUGAAAGCUGGCCCCUUUGGGGUCCGCGUUGUAAUUUGUAGAGGAUGAUUCGGCGAGGGCUCCCGUCUAAGUCCCCUGGAACGGGGCGUCAUAGAGGGUGAGAAUCCCGUAUGUGAUGGGUUGCCUUAGCCAUGUGAAUCUCCUUCGACGAGUCGAGUUGUUUGGGAAUGCAGCUCUAAAUGGGAGGUAAAUUUCUUCUAAAGCUAAAUACCGGCCAGAGACCGAUAGCGCACAAGUAGAGUGAUCGAAAGAUGAAAAGCACUUUGGAAAGAGAGUUAAAAAGUACGUGAAAUUGUUGAAAGGGAAGCGCUUGCAGCCAGACUUGUCCGCAGUUGCUCAGCCGGUCUCCUGACCGGCGUACUCUUCUGCGGCCAGGCCAGCAUCAGUUCGGGCGGUCGGAUAAAGACCUCGGGAAUGUAGCUCCUCUCGGGGAGUGUUAUAGCCCGGGGUGGAAUGCGGCCAGCCUGGACUGAGGAUCUCGCUUCGGCUAGGAUGCUGGCGUAAUGGCUGUAAGCGGCCCGUCUUGAAACACGGACCAAGGAGUCUAACAUCUAUGCGAGUGUUUGGGUGUCAAACCCAUACGCGUAAUGAAAGUGAACGGAGGUGGGAACCCUCACGGGUGCACCAUCGACCGAUCCUGAUGUCUUCGGAUGGAUUUGAGUAUGAGCAUAGCUGUUGGGACCCGAAAGAUGGUGAACUAUGCCUGAAUAGGGUGAAGCCAGAGGAAACUCUGGUGGAGGCUCGCAGCGGUUCUGACGUGCAAAUCGAUCGUCAAAUUUGG
Molecule: ribosomal RNA, 812 nt
Filed under: Dothiorella sp. MPZ-2013
Lineage: Eukaryota; Fungi; Ascomycota; Dothideomycetes; Botryosphaeriales; Botryosphaeriaceae
Description: eukaryotic LSU rRNA
Rfam family: Eukaryotic large subunit ribosomal RNA
Source: RNAcentral